This 490-nucleotide ribosomal RNA is filed under the name uncultured bacterium. RNAcentral describes it as "bacterial SSU rRNA". It matches the Rfam family "Bacterial small subunit ribosomal RNA", at positions 28 to 514 of the family's 1533-position model. The record is from RNAcentral.
GAUGAACGCUAGCGGCAGGCCUAAUACAUGCAAGUCGAGGGGCAGCAUAGUAGCAAUACUGAUGGCGACCGGCGCACGGGUGCGUAACGCGUAUGCAACCUACCCAUUACUGAGGGAUAGCCCGGAGAAAUUCGGAUUAAUACCUCAUGGUAUCAAAGACAGGCAUUUGUUUUUGAUUAAAGAUUUAUCGGUAAUGGAUGGGCAUGCGUCAGAUUAGCUAGUUGGCGGGGUAACGGCCCACCAAGGCGAUGAUCUGUAGGGGGUCUGAGAGGAUGAUCCCCCACACUGGUACUGAGAUACGGACCAGACUCCUACGGGAGGCAGCAGUAGGGAAUAUUGGUCAAUGGGCGAGAGCCUGAACCAGCCAUGCCGCGUGCAGGAAGAAGGCCCUCUGGGGUUGUAAACUGCUUUUGACCAGGGCCCAAAAUACUCAUGCGUGAGGAAUUGAGAGUACUGGUAGAAUAAGCACCGGCUAACUCCGUGCCAGCAG